This 85-nucleotide transfer RNA is filed under the name Vibrio parahaemolyticus. RNAcentral's name for it is "tRNA-Leu". It matches the Rfam family "tRNA". Rfam says of the family: Transfer RNA (tRNA) molecules are approximately 80 nucleotides in length. Lineage: Bacteria; Pseudomonadati; Pseudomonadota; Gammaproteobacteria; Vibrionales; Vibrionaceae. The record is from RNAcentral. RNAcentral also lists the same sequence under 3 other names.
GCGGAAGUGACGGAAUUGGUAGACGCACCAGAUUUAGGUUCUGGCGCCGUAAGGUGUGAGAGUUCAAGUCUCUCCUUCCGCACCA